RNAcentral lists this ribosomal RNA (497 nucleotides) under uncultured bacterium. RNAcentral's name for it is "partial 16S ribosomal RNA". It matches the Rfam family "Bacterial small subunit ribosomal RNA", at positions 28 to 507 of the family's 1533-position model. The record is from RNAcentral.
GAUGAACGCUGGCGGCGUGCCUAAUACAUGCAAGUCGAGCGAACACAUGAGGAGCUUGCUCCUCUGACGUUAGCGGCGGACGGGUGAGUAACACGUGGAUAACCUACCUAUAAGACUGGGAUAACUUCGGGAAACCGGAGCUAAUACCGGAUAAUAUAUUAAACCGCAUGGUUCAAUAGUGAAAUACGGUUUUGCUGUUACUUAUAGAUGGAUCCGCGCCGGAUUAGCUAGUUGGUAAGGUAACGGCUUACCAAGGCAACGAUGCGUAGCCGACCUGAGAGGGUGAUCGGCCACACUGGAACUGAGACACGGUCCAGACUCCUACGGGAGGCAGCAGUAGGGAAUCUUGCGCAAUGGGCGAAAGCCUGACGGAGCAACGCCGCGUGAGUGAUGAAGGUCUUCGGAUCGUAAAGCUCUGUUAUUAGGGAAGAACAAAUGUGUAAGUAACUAUGCACGUCUUGACGGUACCUAAUCAGAAAGCCACGGCUAACUACGUG